GGGGCCGUAGCACAGUGGUAGCGCGCGUCAUUUGCAGUCAGUUUACCGACUUUGAAUGAAUCUUGACGAGGUCUUGGGUUCGAUCCCCAACUGCUCCA
Non-coding RNA from Microthyrium microscopicum, 98 nucleotides. The record is from the annotation of a GenBank genome assembly. NCBI's taxonomy places the organism in Eukaryota, Fungi, Ascomycota, Dothideomycetes, Microthyriales, Microthyriaceae.